Small nuclear RNA from Calliphora vicina (urban bluebottle blowfly), 221 nucleotides. RefSeq annotates it as U12 minor spliceosomal RNA. The transcript has a single exon. NCBI's taxonomy places the organism in Eukaryota, Metazoa, Arthropoda, Insecta, Diptera, Calliphoridae. The record is from RefSeq and is a predicted model, not a curated record.
GUGUCUAAAUACAAUUAGUAAGGAAAACCGUAUUCGGUCUUGCUAAUCGCUCGACUGGUUUGCUUCUAGUCAAUAUGGGACGAAGCAUUAUUUGGGCCUUGGCCUUUUAAUGUUCGAGUCUGAUAUGAAGCGACAAUUUUUGAAUGGGUACAGGUCGUCCCUUUGAAUUCAUGAGUCCACUACUUUUCGGGCUGUAGAGCUUGGGUGAAGCGAUCUGCCCA